This is a long non-coding RNA of Manis javanica (Malayan pangolin), 560 nucleotides long. RefSeq lists it as uncharacterized. The record is from RefSeq and is a predicted model, not a curated record. Lineage: Eukaryota; Metazoa; Chordata; Mammalia; Pholidota; Manidae.
GCGACCCUCCUCCCUGACCGUCAGCGCAUUCCUUUGGGAAAGCAGCCGGCUUCCUGAGCUGCUAACCACCGCCCCGCCCAGUAGCACUGAGGUGUACCUGACAAAUAAAAUGAAAUGGGAUUGCUGUUCUCAAUUUUCUGAGGAAACUCCCUACAAUGUUUUCCACAAUGGCUGUGCUCCCUUUUCUCCACAUCCUCGCCAACACUUCUUUCUGGUAACAGUCAUUCGAACAGCUGUGCGGUGAUACCUCACUGUGGUUUUGACUUGCAUUUCCCUGAGGGGCCUGGAAGAGAAGUACCCUGGGAAGAACUGAGCGCUCCGGACAUCAGACACAACAUUGCCACACUGCCUGAGCUGGGCCUGCAAGAUGAGUUCAUCCACCACGGACAGAUCAAGCGGGUAAGGAAGACCCCCACACACCUCAAGGGAUUCUGAGAAGCCUGCCAGCCUAUUCGUGCACAGAAAGGUUCACCGCCACUGGAACAGCAAAAACAAAAAAGUAUCUUGCACACGGUUGUCCUGACAACAGUGAUACUUUUUGAGCUCCUGCAGCCAAUAGG